Molecule: ribosomal RNA, 253 nt
Filed under: uncultured bacterium
Lineage: Bacteria
Description: partial 16S ribosomal RNA
Rfam family: Bacterial small subunit ribosomal RNA
Source: RNAcentral
UACGUAGGCAGCGAGCGUUGCUCGGAAUCACUGGGCGUAAAGGGCGCGUAGGCGGGCUACCAAGUCAGGGGUGAAAUCCCCAGGCUCAACCUGGGAACUGCGUCUGAUACUGGAUGGCUUGAAUCCGGGAGAGGGAUGCAGAAUUCCAGGUGUAGCGGUGAAAUGCGUAGAUAUCAUUUGGAACGCCAAUGGUGAAGACAGGUUGCUGGGAGUAUGCUGACGCUGAGACACGAAAGCCAGGGGAGCGAACGGG